RNAcentral lists this ribosomal RNA (494 nucleotides) under uncultured bacterium. RNAcentral's name for it is "partial 16S ribosomal RNA". It matches the Rfam family "Bacterial small subunit ribosomal RNA", at positions 28 to 507 of the family's 1533-position model. The record is from RNAcentral.
GACGAACGCUGGCGGCGUGCUUAACACAUGCAAGUCGAACGGAAAGGCCUGCUUUCCCUUGUGGAUUGCGGGUACUCGAGUGGCGAACGGGUGAGUAACACGUGAGUGAUCUGCCCCCAACUUGGGUAUAAGCCUGGGAAACUGGGUCUAAUUCCCGAUAGGACUGCAGGGUGGUGCCUGUGGUGGAAAACGAUUUUCUAGUGGUUGGGGAUGAGCUCGCGGCCUAUCAGCUUGUUGGUGGGGUAAUGGCCUACCAAGGCGGCGACGGGUAGCCGGCCUGAGAGGGUGGACGGCCACAUUGGGACUGAGAUACGGCCCAGACUCCUACGGGAGGCAGCAGUGGGGAAUAUUGCACAAUGGGCGGAAGCCUGAUGCAGCGACGCCGCGUGGGGGAUGACGGCCUUCGGGUUGUAAACUCCUUUCGACCGCGAGGAAGCCACCUGGUUGGGAGGGUGGUGACGGUAGUGGUGGAAGAAGCACCGGCUAACUACGUG